Molecule: long non-coding RNA, 319 nt
Filed under: Nicotiana benthamiana
Lineage: Eukaryota; Viridiplantae; Streptophyta; Magnoliopsida; Solanales; Solanaceae
Description: long non-coding RNA (NBEN_LNC030759)
Source: RNAcentral
UCUCGGUUGUUCCAGAGACUUCUUCAGUUUCUCUCUCUUUCUCUCACUCAGUUCUUCAUCAACUUUGCCUUCAAUCCUUACGUUUUCAUGGUAUUAGAGCAGGAUGAUCCUCGGAUUCAUCUCUGUUACUUGUUAUCGAUUGCGUUGGAAGUUUUAUUGAAGGUUUUCUCGGAUAUUUGUGAGAGAUUUUGUUUACGGAUAGAACGAUGUGUACUGAACGGAUAAUCGGAGCUUUUACUGCUGUUUGAUGCUUCUAUCUUCACUCAGUGGAUGUUUUGGGUGAUUUUCCGACAUCCCUGACCUUUUUCCGGUGAUUCUU